This 401-nucleotide ribosomal RNA is filed under the name uncultured bacterium. RNAcentral describes it as "bacterial SSU rRNA". It matches the Rfam family "Bacterial small subunit ribosomal RNA", at positions 355 to 775 of the family's 1533-position model. The record is from RNAcentral.
UAGGGAAUAUUAGAAAUGGACGAAAGUCUGAUCUAGCAACACCGCGUGCGAAGAAGGCCUUUGGGUCGUAAAGCACUUUUUGGAAGGAAUAGGAAGGAAUGUACUUCCAGAAUAAGUCUCGGCUAACUACGUGCCAGCAGCCGCGGUAACACGUAGGAGGCAAACGUUAUCCGGAUUUACUGGGCGUAAAGCGCGUGUAGGUGGUACUGUAAGUAGGGCGUGAAAGCUCCUGGCUCAACUGGGAGAGGCCGUUCUAAACUACAGAACUAGAGGAUGGUAGAGGGAGGUGGAAUUCCAGGUGUAGCGGUGGAAUGCGCAGAUAUCUGGAGGAACACCGGUGGCGAAGGCGGCCUCCUGGACCAUUCCUGACACUCAGACGCGAAAGCUAGGGUAGCAAACGG